GAAUCUUCUGCUUUUAGUCUUGUCUUGGGCACCCAGUGACGGGUUCUUCUGAUCAUUAUUAUUAUUAUUGUCUGACCGUUUUCAUGAAAGCAACACCAAAGACCAUAGAGAUGUUCUGAGGAAGAUCACUAUAGUGCCUCAACUAGCUGGCAAAAUAAACAGCCAGGUUGCAGAACAACUGUUCUCAAAGAUGAGGAAAAACAACUAUUUUUUAAACAUGUCUCGGCCUUCUACUCAUUUGUUUCAAAUGAGAACCAUAAUUCACCACUACAAUGAAAAAAGGAACAAUAAAGUGAUGACCAAAUUAAGGAAGACUUUUGGAUCUAAGAUGGUGGUGAAUAUGCAUGGACAAGCUGUGUUGGGUGAAGAAAAAUACCUUAUAUGAAAUAUUAAACACUGUUUUUACAAUUGGUGGAAAGACAUUGGCCACCAAACAUAAUGUGUGUUUUGAAGUAACUGAGUUUUGGAUGUAACUUUAGAUUUGUUUGUAUUGUAACAGAAAACAUGAACAUCUCCAGUGAGGAAACCACAGAAAUUGAGAUGGAGGACACAACCCUUACAUCUGUGACAGUCCCAACCACAGAAAAUGAAAUGGUGUGUAACAUCAAACACCUGUCUGCAAAUAGAGUGUGCUGGGAUUGUCUACCAAGUCAUAGGCAAUCAGAAAUGCUUGACUGGGCCUUGAGAAUAGAGAACCCAGAUGAGACAAUUGCUGAAAUUGACAACAUUGUCCUGAAAAGAAAAGAUUUUUGGACGCUGGGUCUCAAUGAGCAGUUGGAGGCAACAAUUGCAAACAGCUGUCUUGAAGUGGUUGCAUUGGUGGCUAAAGAACAGGUAAGUUUGAUUAAAGCUGCUUUUCUGAAAUGGCUCAAGACAUAAUUGUGUAACUUGUGCUCACUUGUGCAAUGGUAUGUCACUGUAGGGAAUGGAUGUGUGGACAGCUGACGCAUAUGUUGUGGCUACCUGGUUACCUCCAAAUAAUUUGGACCCAUCACUGUCUUUUCCAGUAAGGCCAUAAAGUUACAUCACAUUCAUAAUACUGAAAAUGUAAUUUAAAUCUGACUUAAAAAAAACUUUUUAUUAAAAAAAAUGUAUUUUAAAAUUAUCUAUAGGAUCACAUUGCAUUCAAAGAUGCUAUUGUCUUUCCUGCUUGGAAGCCAGGACACUGGAUGUUGUGUGUAAGUUAUAUGGAAUUUGGUUACUAAAUAUAUAAUUGCAUCUGUAAAUUGCCUUCAUUUGUCUUGUCACAAUUCAAAAUUACCAUUGCACUAUUGCAACCUACUAACACACUGUUUUCCAGGUAAUGAAGCCAAAAGAUAGACAAAUCUACUUCUUAGAUUCAACCAAUCCCUAUGGGUUGGGUGAUGAGUGCUAUGUGCACAUUUUCAGGUUGCUUAAAUGUGAAAAUGUUCAUGGUUCGCUGUUCAUAAGGUUUGCCUUCAAAUGUUCAAAAUGUUGGCUUAAUGGUUAUUUGGAUGUUUGCAUGAUGUUCUGAAUUUGCGUGUGUGUGACAAUUGUUUUAUUUUCUGAAAGGCCCAGUUACUGGGGGCUACUGUUUUUGCAGAUUUUCUUUGUAUUCAUACUCUUUCAUAUGAACUUUGUUGUUAUUAUUUGUGUAUUUUUGUUUCAGUAAGAUGACAGCUAAAAUUGCACCUGGCACAUGGAUGCUACUAAAAAACAAGGUUAAUUUUGUAAUUGGGACAUAUGUCAAUCUCUUACACACAACCUAAAUAUUUUUCUUUUUCAUUUUUUUUUAAGGAUGUCCCCCAACAGAUUGGCUAUGUGGACUGUGGAUUUUCAUUCAGGGAAGACAUGGAGAUUUUUUUAGUUGAAUGCCAUGAAAAAAUGGGGUUAAAAUUGAAUUCUUCGUUUGAAGAGUGAAAAGUAUAAGACUUUCAAAAGCUUUUUUUUUUUUUUAUAUUACAAUUAAAUUUCUAAAUUUUAAUUUUAGUUCUAUUUUUGGUUGUUGAAAUGUUUUUUUUUUAUUAGUAUGUUGCACUUUUUCCAUGUUCAAUUUGAAUUUUAAAAUAAAAAGUAUUCUUGACAUCAAACGUC
RNAcentral lists this long non-coding RNA (2055 nucleotides) under Sinocyclocheilus anshuiensis. Its description in RNAcentral is "lncRNA (ENSSANG00000036917.1)". The record is from RNAcentral. Lineage: Eukaryota; Metazoa; Chordata; Actinopteri; Cypriniformes; Cyprinidae.